GUCGAGCUUAGUAACGCAAGCUUGUGGUCCGAGUGGAGACAAUAAGGUGAUGGGACGUUGUCCUAACUUGCCUGGGAAUGGUUUGGUGAUAGAUAUCUGCUGGCCCAAGUUUAAAGGAGUUCGGUUUGCCGCAACGGCAUGGCGUUAGUCUCCUGGCCCGAGUUUAAAGGAGUUCGGUUGGCCGCAAUGGCCUGCCGUUAGUCUCCUAGAGCCGAAGGAAUAUUGGACCAGUGACCUCUAAACCAACUAGACCUGGUAUGUCAGUUUAAAUUGGACCAUCACUUUU
This 286-nucleotide non-coding RNA is filed under the name Brassica napus (rape). The record is from RNAcentral. Lineage: Eukaryota; Viridiplantae; Streptophyta; Magnoliopsida; Brassicales; Brassicaceae.